RNA transcript from Mobula hypostoma (lesser devil ray), 8269 nucleotides. It is a transcript of the gene named biorientation of chromosomes in cell division 1, with no coding region annotated. The transcript is spliced from 5 exons. The record is from RefSeq and is a predicted model, not a curated record. Lineage: Eukaryota; Metazoa; Chordata; Chondrichthyes; Myliobatiformes; Myliobatidae.
AUUACUGUGAUUUUAACAGAUCUUUGUGCUACUAACAUUUUCUUUGGGUGCUAUUACUCAUUAUAAAAAUGUUGCAGACGGGCACAAGUAACUAUUUGACCAGGUGAGGCAAGUGGAGGUAGAAUGUUUUGUAUGUUCAAGUUUAAAUUUAUUGUUUUCACAGGCAUAAAUGCAUAGGAUAUAAAUAACAUGAAAACUAGCUUUUGCGGCAGCAACAUUAUUACAAGGACAAACACAAGUUAACAUAAACUUAACUGAACAUGAAUUAUACAUAAAUUACACAUGUAAGUCCAACUACUAUUGACAUGACAAAUAGAUCCUGUAUCCAAAUCCACAUUCUAAUGAAGAGUUUUUGAACUGAAAUGUUAACUGUUUCGCAUGUGUAGCUGCUAACCAACUUUCUAGAUAUUUCCAUCUGGAUAUUAUGUUUAUUCUGCCUUUUAAUGGUCAAAUCCAAUGCACAAGAAUAUCCAUAACUUGUUUCUGUCUGUUUAACAACAAAGCUACAGGAAGAGCAGGAAUGGAAAUAACAAGUAAUCGUGUACAGGGCACUGAUCAGUUCUGAAGAUGAGGGAAGAUUAAUAUUCUACAUUUAAUCCUGUCUGAACCCUGGCUAAAUCAUUGUGACCACAUACGGAAUUAAAAAUUUACUUGUGAUUGGAAUGUACGUAUAUUUAUUUGGUUAAUUCACAGGUUGCAUCUGUGGUAAAGAAGGCAAAUGCAAUGUUGACAUUUAUGUCAAGGGGAAUAGAAUAUAAAAACAAGGAUAUAAUGCUGAAGCUUUAGAAGACACUAGUCAGGCUGCACUUGGAGUACCAUCAACAGUUUUGGGCCCCUUAUCUCAGAAAUGAUGUAUUGUCAUUGGAGAGAGUCUAAGAUGACUCCAGGAAUGAUGGGGUUAACAUAUGAGGAGCAUCUGGCAACUUUGGGCCUGUACUCAUUGGAAUUUAGAAGAAUGCGUGGGGAUCUCAUUGAAACCUACCAAAUGUUGAAAGGACUAGAUAAGGUGGAUGUGGAGAGGAUGUUGCCUCUGGUGAGGAUAUCCAGAACUAGAGGGCACAGCCUCAGGGGCAACCUUUUAGAAUAGAAGGAGGGAGGAAUCUUUUUAGACCAAGAGCGGUGAAUCUGUGAAAUGCUCUGCCACAAACUGCGGUGGAGGCCAACUCUGUGGGUAUAUUUAAGCGGAGAUUCCUGGUUGGUUGGGGCAUCAAGGGAUAUGGUGAGAGGGCAGGCGUAUGGGGUUGAGUGGGAUCUGGCAUCAGCCAUGAUGAAAUGGUGGAGCAGACUGAAUGGGCUGAAUGACCUGAUUCUGCUCCUAUGUCUUAUGGUCUUAUGACCUCUGUCAUAGGCUGGAUCAAAGUUAGUGAUAAAUCAGCAUAUAAGAGGGAAAUCGAAAAUCCGGCUGAGUGGUGCCACAACAAAAACCUCUUGUUCAAUGUCAGCAAGACCACGGAGCUGAUUAUUGACUUAAGGAGGUGGAAACCAGAGGUCCAUGAGCCAGUCCUUAUGGGAGGAUCAAAGGUGGAGAGGAUCAGCAACCUUAAAUUCCUCAGUGUCAUCAUAUUAGAGGAACACUCCUGGGAUCAGCACAUGAGUACAAUGACAAGGAAAGCACAGCAGUGCCUCUACUUCCUCAGGAGUUUGCAAAGAUUUGGUACACCUAAAACUUUGACAAACUUCUAUAGGUGUGUAGUAGAGAGUAUAUUGACUGGCUGCAUCACAGCCUGGUAUGGAAACACCCAAUGCCCCGAAUGGAAAAUCCCACAAAAAGUAGUGAAUUUGGCCCAGUCCAUCACGGGUAAACCCCUCCCCAUAAUUGAGUGCAUCUACACAAAAUGUUGUCACAGGAAAGCAGCACCCAUCUUCAGGGCCCCCCACCACCCAGGACAUGUUCUCUUCUCGCUGCAGCCCGGAGCCUCAGGACUCAGACCACAAGGUUCAGGAACAGUUAUUAUUCCUCAACCAUCAGGCUCUUGAACCAAAGGGGAUAACUUCACUUGCCACAUUAUUUUUCAUGUUCCCACAACCUAUGGACUCACUUUCAAGGUCUUGUCAUCUCAUGUUCUAGAUAUGAAUUAUUUAUUAUUAUUCUUUCUUUCUUUUUUUAUUUGUACAGUUUGUUGUCCUUUACACAGUGGUUGAACUCCCAGUUGGUGUGGUCUUUCACUGAUUCUAUUAUUGUUAUUAUUCUGUUAUGGAUUUUUAAAUAUGCCCACAAGAAAAUUAAUCUCUGGGUUGUAUAUGGUGAGAUAUAUACACACACUUUAACAAAAAAUAUACAUUCAACUUUGCCUGAAUCCAAGAGGAAAGGAAGAAUAAAAUGAUUAAGCAGCUCUGCUGCCACCAAGUGGAUGAUAAAAUAUAAAUUCACACGUUUUGUUUUCCAGAAUUUAAACUUCAACAAAACAUAAUUGUUUUGUGCUAUUCAUUACUUUGCUGAUUACUUUUAGAAAAUGGAAGCAAGAGCAUCAGACAUUGGAAUAGAAUUAGGCCAUUCAGCCCAUUGAGUCUGCUCCCCCAUUCCAUCAUGGCUGAUUUAUUACCCCUCUCAACCCCAUUCUCCUGCCCUCUCCCCAUAACCUUUGACACCCUGACUAAUCAAGAACCUAUCAACCUUCGUUUAAAAUACACUUAGUGAAUUGGCCCCCCACAGCAAUUAAUUCCACAGAAUCACCACCCUCUGGCUAAAGAAAUUCCUCCUCAUCUCUGUUCUAACUGGACAUCCCUGAGGCUGUGCUCUCUAGUCCUAGACUCCACCACGAUAGGAAGUAUCCUCUCAACAUCCACUCUAUCUAGGCCUUUCAAUGAGAUCCCCCCCCCCUUAUUCUUCUGAACUCCAGUGAGUACAGACCUCGAGCAAACCAUCAAAUGAUCCUGUUAACCCUUUCAUCCCCGGAACCAUUCUCGUGAACAUCCUCCGGACAUGACCGUGUACGUUUCCUCCCACAGUCUAAAGACGUACCGGUUAGUAGGUUAAUUGGUCAUUGUAAAUUGUCCUAUGAUUAGGCUUGGAUCGAAUCGGAGUUCACUCGGGUGGCGCAGUUUAAAGGCCAGCUCUGCACUGUAUUUCUAAAUAAAUAAAUUAUGAAGGAUCCUAUCCACACUGCUCAUGGACUGUUUGUCCCACUCUCAUCAGGAUGGAGGCUACGUAGCUAUCUUAUGUAUUUAGAUUUAUUGUGUGUUUAAAUCACUGUGUUCUUAGUGUACUUUUUAUAUGCUGCACCAGAUCCGAAGUAACAAUGACUUGGUCCUCCUUUACACUUGUGCACCGGAAAUGACAUUAAACAAUCUUGAAUCCACUGACUUUGAGAGAAGUUCAAGCACAAACUAGCGGGACGCUAACUGGAUCUCAGCAAGUGCUCACUUGGAACCCAAGCAGAGGUGGAGGUGGGGGUGCGGCACGAAUGGUUGCACCGCCACCUGGGAAUUGGAGUUUAUUGAUCUCGGCCAGAACCUGCCAGCUGUAAACUACACUUCCCAGAAGGAACCGCAGUCCAUCGGUGCAUGCUCGAUGUUCCGUUUCUCUCGGCUACGGAGCGGAAGUAGUAAAUGAUCAGCAAGUGAACCCGAGUGGGAUUCAUGAACAGUCCACCCUCUCCGCACCGCUCACGGCUCCGUUAUAUUUAAAUCUGCAUCCUCCGUUCACCGCCCGACUGCAAUGGCCAAGAACCUGCCGCCUGAAGAUCCGAACUUGAUAGCCAAGAUCGUGGAUCACCUGAAGAACCGCGGCCUGUUUGACGAGUUCCGCAGAGACUGCCUGGCUGAUGUCGACACCAAGCCAGCAUAUCAGAAUCUCAGACAGCGAGUUGAUAAUUUUGUCUCCAAUCAUUUGGCUAAUCAUGAGUGGAAUCCAAGCCUUAACAAAAAUCAGCUGCGUAAUGAGCUUCGACAAAGGGUCUGUAAAUCAGGAAUGUUGGAAUCUGGCGUGGACAGAAUUAUUUCUCAGGUCGUAGAUCCGAAGCUGUAUCACAUAUUCAAACCUCAGAUAGAGAAGGCAGUUCAUGAAUUCAUGGCGACAGAAAUGAAUGAAGAAAUUGUGCCAAAUCCUCCACAGGAGCCUGAAAAACAGGAGCUCUCUGCUCCAGCUUCAGGUAACUCUUCAAAGGCCCUAGCACCAGCAUAAAAAUGGCUCUUUUCUACCUUCAACUGUAGUUGCACAAUCAGUUAAGAAUAAAUUUGACUAUGGGACAAAGAUGCUUAUCUAGGAUUAACCAAGAUAAAUGUUGUUUAUAGUUUACACUAGCAUUGCUACGUCAUUAUAUGGAAUAGGAAAAGUGAUGAGAACUAAACAAUGAAGAAAAAGUAUUAUUUGAUGGAUCUUAAUUACUGUCACAGAGAUUCAGUAAGAACAGAUGCUCAGAUGCUUUUGGCAAUGCUUGAAAUUUUGAAGAGAAACUAGAGUGAAUGAAGAAAUAGCUAUAGUAUAACUGGACUUUCAUUGAAGGAGGACAUGUACUGAAGAGAUUUUUUUAAAAUGAGAAAUAGGCAACCUUCCCAAAAAGGUAGUUCACUUUUCUCAGAGCAUAUUGCGCAUUUAACCCUUUGAGGAUGGCAACAAAUUUUUAUGGGUUCAGAGAAUGCUGAAAAUAUCUAUUCUGUGGCUUUGUUGUCAUCCCUGAAAUGCUUCUGCACUGGAGUUUCUAUCUCCAAAGGAUUGAUGCAGUUGUUAUAAUUUAUUUCCUGUAUUUCAAUUAGAUCAUUAAACAUUGAAAAGUAGUUAAUUACUCAGCUGCUUAACCUGUCCAGCACUGUAUUUGGAUACUUUUUUUCCUGUGUUACACAUUUUUGUAAAAACCUUGAGGAUAGAUCGGGUGAUGUUUAAUUAUUACAGGUGACAUACUUUUUCCCCCUUUGGUUCUGUUCAAAACAAGCACAUAAUGUCAUAACAUCUUGAAGAUUAUAAGAACAAUAAUUAUUGUGAGACAAUUAUUCUCAAAUAUUUUGAGAGAAAUACAUCACUAUAUACUAGUUUCUGGUAGCAAAGAAACAAAGCUACAGCUUUCUCCAUCCUUCCUUCUAUACCAUAGCAAAAAGGUAUAACCUCCCAGUUACCAGUGAGUUUAUGGAAGUACACACUUGCCGUGCCUGGAAAUUUAUUUUCUUCAUAAAUUUUUAAAUUUACUCUUUCCUUUGUAAUACGUGACAGUUUAGAUUUUAUGCAACUAUUUCUGCCUGUUUUUCACUGAAGUGCAUAAUAUUCCACAAUCUAAAUACAACAGCACUUUAGGCAUGAAAAUGAACCUGGUGGUUCAUAUUCAUGAAGUAGUCUUGCAGCAUCUGGGCAUACCAUCAUGUUGUGUAACUAUAAUUUAAAAACUUGGCACAAGGAUGAGACAAUUAGAAAAUUUCAAAUUUGAUUUCUGGUCUAUGGUAACUUGAAUCUUUAUCAGGAUGGGCCAUGCUAAUUGUUUCCAAGAUAAAUAUUAGUAUGAUUUCUGCUCCUGGCAUUCUCAAGUUUACAGUGAAAUCAAAUGAGAAUGAGUUACGCUGCUACAUUGUCCAGACAAAUUGCAACUGUUUGGUUUCAUAGUUGCUAAUUUUCCAUAUGCCAGUGAAUAGUCUAAUGUGAUUGGGGGGGGGGGGGGCGGAGGCAAAGUUAUAAACCCCUAAGUUGUAUGCAUCUUUUAACUUAAUAUUUUAUUUUGGUUUGUUUUUCAGGAUAGUUUGAAGACUAAUCUUGAAAACCUCCCUAGACAUAACAGUUUUCCCCCACCCCCUCCCCACACCCCUUCCACAGAGGACAUGCACUGGACCCAGCACAUAAGUGCAAUUAUGAAGAAAGCAUGGCAGUGCCUCUACUUCCUUAGAAGUUUGCGAAGAUUCAGCAUGACAUCCAAUAUUUCGACAAACUUCUAUCGAUAUGUGGUGGUGAGUAUAUUGAUGGGUUACAUCACAGCCUAGAAUGGAAACACCAAUGCCCUUGAAUGGAAAAUCCAACAAAAUGUAGUUAAUAUGUCCCAAUCCAUCAGGGGAAAAGCCCUCCCAUGCAUUGAGCAUAUCUACACAGAGCACUGACUCAGGAAAACAGAAUUCAUCAUCAGGGACCCCCAUCAGCCAGGUCAUGCUCUCUUCUUGCUGCUGCCAUCAGGAGGAAGGUACAGGAGCCUCAGGACUCUCACCACCAGGUUUGGGAACAGAUAUUACCCCUCAACCAUCAGGCUCUUGAACCAGUGGGGGUAAUUCAUUCAACUUCACUUGCUCCAUCACUGAAUGAUUCCCAUAGCCUAUGGGCUCACUUUCAAGGACUUCAUUUCAUGUUUCCAAUAUUUAUUGCUUAUUUUAUUAUUAUUAUUAUUAUUUUCUCUUUUAUAUUUGCACAGUUUGUUGUCUUUUGAACAUUGGUUAUCUGUCCACCCUGUUGGGUGCUGUCUUUCAUUGAUUCUAUUAUGGUUCCUGGAUUUACUGAGUAUGCCCACAAGAAAAAAAAUGUCAGGGUUGUAUAUGGUGACAUAUAUAUACUUUGAUAAUAAACUAACUUUGAACUUUUGAACUUUCAACCAUUCUUUAUCCUCACAAGACCCUUAGUUUCCCUUUACUUUCACAAUUAUCUUUUUGUCUUCCAUGGUAAAAACAAGUAGAAAAUACUUAUCUAAUGUCACUAUAAUUUUAUUAUUUAUUAUUAGAUAAUUGUUGAACUCUUUACAGACUGUUUUAGGUCUCUUGCAAUUUGAAUCCCAUAUUCUAUUUCCUCCCAUCAAUUUAUUGGUCUAAAAUCCUACCAAAUAUUGUGAAUUUAAAAAUCUUACAUAGCCUUGUUAUACUGUUCAUUAAAUGUGUAGUUCUCCCUGUUGAAGUUGACAUAACUAAAUUCUUCUGGGGAGUAAAUGAUUGCAAGUUCUUCACUGUGGGACUGUCGUGGCUAAACUGUUAUGAUUAAAUAAUAAUAUGUGCUUGGUCUGAUGUUUAUUUUCAUGUUCGACCAUACUAAGAUAUAACUCAGUCAUCGUACUUUUGCCAGUUACCAGUAUUUGUCAAGUGCUACUUCAGAUGAUCGUUAAGAAUGCUCACACCAAUGCAUAAAACAACUACCAGCUGGAAAAUUACAGUAAUUCCAUUUUAGGUCUGCAUUAUCUGAUUUCUCCUUUUCUGUCAAGAAAGACAAAUCAUUAUUGUCUUCAAAAAUGCUUACCUUCUUCAGACCAAAUAGGAAUAUUGCAUCAUAAUUGUGGGUGGCUCGACAGCAUAGUGGUUAUCACAAGUGCCUUACAGUGCAGGUGACCUGGGUUCAAAUCCCACUGCUGUCUAUAAGGAGAGUGUAUGUUCUCCCCGUGACCACGUGGAUUUCCUCCAGGUGUUCCGAUUUCCUCCCACGGUCCAAAGUCAUACCGGUUGGUACAUUUGUAGAUUAAUUAGUCAUUGUGAAUUGGUCCCACACAGGAGAUUAGUGUGCAAACUUAAAGCACACGGUAUUGGGGGUAAGGUAUUGGUGUGGGUGGAGAAUUGGUUAGCAGACAGGAAGCAAAGAGUGGGAAUAAACGGGACCUUUUCAGAAUGGCAGGCGGUGACUAGUGGGGUACCGCAAGGCUCAGUGCUGGGACCCUAGUUGUUUACAAUAUAUAUUAAUGACUUGGAUGAGGGAAUUAAAUGCAGCAUCUCCAAGUUUGCAGAUGACACGAAGCUGGGCAGCAGUGUUAGCUGUGAGGAGGAUGCUAAAAGGAUGCAGGGUGACUUGGAUAGGUUGGGUGAAUGGGCAAAUUCAUGGCAGAUGCAAUUUAAUGUGGAUAAAUGUGAAGUUAUCCACUUUGGUGGCAAAAAUAGGAAAACAGAUUAUUAUCUGAAUGGUGGCCGAUUAGGAAAAGGGGAGGUGCAACGAGACCUGGGUGUCAUUAUACAGCAGUCAUUGAAAAUGGGCAUGCAGGUACAGCAGGCGGUGAAAAAGGUGAAUGGUAUGCUGGCAUUUAUAGCGAGAGGAUUCGAGUACAGGAGCAGGGAGGUACUAUUGCAGUUGUACAAGGCCUUGGUGAGACCACACCUGGAGUAUUGUGUGCAGUUUUGGUCCCCUAAUCUGAGAAAGACAUCUUUGCCAUAGAGGGAGUACAAAGAAGGUUCACCAGAUUGAUUCCUGGGAUGGCAGGACUUUCAUAUGAAGAAAGACUGGAUGAACUGGGCUUGUACUCGUUGGAAUUUAGAAGAUUGAGGGGGGGAUCUGAUUGAAACGUAUAAGAUCCUAAAGGAAUUGGACAGGCUAGAUGCAGGAAGAUUGUUCCCGAUGUUGGGGAAGUCCAGAACGAGGGGCCACAGUUUGAGGAUAGAGGGGAAGCCUUUUAGG